GGUGAGGUGUCCGAGUGGCUGAAGAGCACGCCUGGAAGUGUGUAUACGGCAACGUAUCGGGGGUUCGAAUCCCCCCUCACCGCCA
Molecule: transfer RNA, 85 nt
Filed under: Escherichia coli O25b:H4
Lineage: Bacteria; Pseudomonadati; Pseudomonadota; Gammaproteobacteria; Enterobacterales; Enterobacteriaceae
Description: tRNA-OTHER
Rfam family: tRNA
About the family: Transfer RNA (tRNA) molecules are approximately 80 nucleotides in length. Their secondary structure includes four short double-helical elements and three loops (D, anti-codon, and T loops).
Source: RNAcentral